AAAAAACAAAAAAGAUGAGCCCAAUGCGGGGCUCGAACCCGCGACAACCAGAUUAAGAGUCUGGUGCUCUACCGACUGAGCUAACCGGGCGGCGA
Molecule: transfer RNA, 95 nt
Filed under: Caenorhabditis elegans
Lineage: Eukaryota; Metazoa; Nematoda; Chromadorea; Rhabditida; Rhabditidae
Description: Unclassified non-coding RNA F56F4.11
Source: RNAcentral